UACAGAGGUCCCAAGCGUUGUUCGGAUUCACUGGGCGUAAAGGGUGCGUAGGUGGUUGGGUAAGUCUUAUGUGAAAUCUCCGGGCUCAACCCGGAAAUGGCAUUGGAUACUAUUCGGCUAGAGGUUUGGAGGGGGGACUGGAAUUCUCGGUGUAGCAGUGAAAUGCGUAGAUAUCGAGAGGAACACCAGUGGCGAAGGCGAGUCCCUGGACAACACCUGACACUGAGGCACGAAAGCUAGGGGAGCAAACAGG
Molecule: ribosomal RNA, 253 nt
Filed under: uncultured bacterium
Lineage: Bacteria
Description: partial 16S ribosomal RNA
Rfam family: Bacterial small subunit ribosomal RNA
Source: RNAcentral